UUCCGAUUUAAACUCACUGGGCCCAUUG
RNAcentral lists this small RNA (28 nucleotides) under Bombyx mori (domestic silkworm). Its description in RNAcentral is "piRNA piR-bmo-2112910". The record is from RNAcentral. Lineage: Eukaryota; Metazoa; Arthropoda; Insecta; Lepidoptera; Bombycidae.